ACAAGGUAGCCGUACUGGAAAGUGUGGCUGGAUCACCUCCUUUCUAAGAGAAAGAAAUUGUUUAAAUUAAUUAUUAUUUUAACUCUUCCCUUGUUUUCUCAAAGGCUUAAAUUUUGGGGGUUUAGCUACAGUUGGUUUAGAGCAUCGGCUUCUGCAAGCCGGGGGUCAAGGGUUCGAGUCCCUUAACCUCCAUUUAUUUAUUGUUAAAUAGGUAUGCAGCCUUUUAAGAAAUGGCUUUGUUUUAUAUUGAGUGAAUGAAUUUUUCAUGGCUUUAAAAGAUGUGUUUUUAUGUUGUUUGUUGUCUUGAUGCCAAUUGCUUUUUAUGAAUUCCAAAACUUGAUUACAUGCAAAAAGUUUAUCUCUAAUUAUUUUAUUAAGGUUUGAAUUAAGGACCUUUGAUCAUGAAUCAACCUAAUUGGAUUGGGAUCAGGAGGAGUUGAACCUCCGACCUC
This 452-nucleotide transfer RNA is filed under the name Borrelia miyamotoi. RNAcentral describes it as "partial contains 16S ribosomal RNA and 16S-23S ribosomal RNA intergenic spacer". The stretch from base 116 to 192 matches the Rfam family "tRNA". Lineage: Bacteria; Pseudomonadati; Spirochaetota; Spirochaetia; Spirochaetales; Borreliaceae. The record is from RNAcentral.